RNAcentral lists this unclassified non-coding RNA (389 nucleotides) under uncultured Gemmatimonadaceae bacterium. Its description in RNAcentral is "contains 16S-23S intergenic spacer region". The record is from RNAcentral. Lineage: Bacteria; Pseudomonadati; Gemmatimonadota; Gemmatimonadia; Gemmatimonadales; Gemmatimonadaceae.
UCCGGUUUGGCACCGGCAGUCCCUCCAGAGUCCCCGGCCGGCCUCUCGGCCGCCGCUGGCAACUGGACGCGGGGGUUGCGCUCGUUGCGGGACUUAACCCAACAUCUCACGACACGAGCUGACGACAGCCAUGCAGCACCUGUGCUGGCGUCCCGAAGGAGGCCCGGGCUUUCACCCGGGUUUCACCAGCAUGUCAAGCCUAGGUAAGGUUCUUCGCGUUGCGUCGAAUUAAACCACAUGCUCCACCGCUUGUGCGGGCCCCCGUCAAUUCCUUUGAGUUUCAGCCUUGCGGCCGUACUCCCCAGGCGGGGCACUUAAUGCGUUAGCGACGGCACCCGGGGGGUCGCUCCCCCAGGCACCUAGUGCCCAUCGUUUACGGCGUGGACUAC